This 235-nucleotide ribosomal RNA is filed under the name uncultured bacterium. RNAcentral describes it as "partial 16S ribosomal RNA". It matches the Rfam family "Bacterial small subunit ribosomal RNA", at positions 100 to 334 of the family's 1533-position model. The record is from RNAcentral.
CGGCACGGGUGAGUAACACGUAUCCAACCUGCCGUCUACUCUUGGACAGCCUUCUGAAAGGAAGAUUAAUACAAGAUGGCAUCAUGAGUCCGCAUGUUCACAUGAUUAAAGGUAUUCCGGUAGACGAUGGGGAUGCGUUCCAUUAGAUAGUAGGCGGGGUAACGGCCCACCUAGUCUUCGAUGGAUAGGGGUUCUGAGAGGAAGGCCCCCACAUUGGAACUGAGACACGGUCCAA